Poecilia latipinna (sailfin molly) is the source of this 1304-nucleotide long non-coding RNA. RefSeq lists it as uncharacterized. The transcript is spliced from 3 exons. The record is from RefSeq and is a predicted model, not a curated record. NCBI's taxonomy places the organism in Eukaryota, Metazoa, Chordata, Actinopteri, Cyprinodontiformes, Poeciliidae.
CAGCACUUUUCCUGCAUGUGGCCCCGUGUGCGCAGAGUCAAGUUUUCGUUCAACAGAUAGCAGCUCAGUGAUCCUUUGUAAACUGUAGCCGAGUGUAGCGUUCACAGCGCAAGAAGGACGCGGACUUUUCUCGUCCACGGCUCUCAUCGUCAAGGUUUUUUACAUGAGUUCAAAGUCAACCAACCAGUGAUCGCUGGAAGCUGGGGAUUGAGUCUUUCAGUUUUUAACCCCACUCGCUGACAUGGAGGGCUUUCUUCGUAGCAGCUUUUUACUGAGGUUAGUUUCAUUUCCGUUGUUGCCAUCUAGGAUCACAGGUCGGGCGAGGGUGGUGUGGCAGGCACACGCUGGGGGGGAGGGGGGGUUAAUCUCUCUGACACAUUGUUAGCUGUGGACUUUACCCCUUGUGUGUGUGCGUGCGGGUGCACAUGUUUGCGUGCGCGCAUGUGUUUGUACAUUUGAAAGACUGUCCAACAUAGAUUCUUGCAUAUUUACCCAAGCUGUCUGUUACAGUUGUGUUCAUGUAUUGCGUUGGCUGUGAAGCAUGCUCACCCUUACAGCCUUGAGUCAGACUGAAAGCACACAUCAACAACUUGACGGUCACAUACACAUGAGCUCGCCCCACCCCUUGCCUCCACUCAUUUCACAGUUUUAACAGCCUGCAGGUCAAGCUCUCUGUGUCUUCAUACUGCAUGCUCUUGUCUGACCACUCUCCUCAUCUGCCCCUGCCUUGCUAAACACCCUUAUCAGGGCUGGCUGGUUGAGGCAAUCACUAGCAAAUCAGUCUUGUGAUGUACUCUUGUUUCCCCUUUCCUUCCUGUGUUUGUCUUCACCCCUAAUGUAAAGAUUUGCAUUUUUUCUUGUGUGUGUCUGCCUUUACACAUCCUGGGAUUCUAAUUAAAAAUGUGUGCUGUCAUUACACACAGUGGAAGUAAAUAAGCAAGCUUAUUUACCAUUGGCUCCUUUCCUAGUCAACCACCUUCUCUAGGCUCCAGUGUUGCUCCCUAAUUAGGGCUGGCUCAUUAAAAGCCACAGCAGCAUCUGCCUUUCAAAGCUGCUGUCAGCCAAACUUUACUAAAGCUAAUGAAUCCUCUUUGAUUUCUUUUUCAAAAGGUCACUUAUUUGAUUAAAUUAACAGCAUUUUUUUUUCUCCCACAGAACAGUUGGGGGCAUUUUAAAAAGAAAGGACAAUUUGAUACCAUUACACUUGCUCAUCAAAGCGUCCUUCAGGAAUUCAAUAGGAAAAUGUCUUGCCUAUUUGAAAUUGUUUUUAUUUUUUCUAACAGAUGGAAUCUCACAUUUAUUAC